UACGGAGGGUGCAAGCGUUGUUCGGAAUUACUGGGCGUAAAGGGCGCGUAGGCGGCCUUCUAAGUCGAACGUGAAAUCCCCGGGCUCAACCCGGGAACUGCGUCCGAUACUGGAAGGCUUGAGGUUGGGAGAGGGAUGCGGAAUUCCAGGUGUAGCGGUGAAAUGCGUAGAUAUCUGGAGGAACACCGGUGGCGAAGGCGGCUCUCUGGACGGUGACUGACGCUGAGACGCGAAAGCGUGGGGAGCAAACAGG
RNAcentral lists this ribosomal RNA (253 nucleotides) under uncultured prokaryote. RNAcentral's name for it is "partial 16S ribosomal RNA". It matches the Rfam family "Bacterial small subunit ribosomal RNA", at positions 524 to 776 of the family's 1533-position model. The record is from RNAcentral.